Molecule: long non-coding RNA, 852 nt
Filed under: Urocitellus parryii (Arctic ground squirrel)
Lineage: Eukaryota; Metazoa; Chordata; Mammalia; Rodentia; Sciuridae
Description: lncRNA (ENSUPAG00010003244.1)
Source: RNAcentral
CUGUGGCUUGGCCCCCUGGGUCCAUCCCUGGAGGCCAGCCACACCUGGGAAGCCUCUCUCCUCUCUGAGCCCCAUCCCUCUGCAGACCCAGGUCCCUGGAGGGGAAGGGCCAUCCCAGAUACCAGCUGGCUGUGGUCCUCGGGGGCUGCGGGCCCUGCACAGUCCAUCUGAGGAGUCUCUGCCUGCUGAAGUGGGAGGACUGAGCGCUUGGACCAGCUGUCAACAGCCUAAGGCUCCCAGGCUGGUGGCCGCGCCCAUUUCUAGAAGGGGGAAGUGCCCUGACCGCGGUGGAAUACUCAUGUAGGUUCCAGGCCAGUGUCCUGACCGCGGUGGACCUGUGAUCCUGUGGGCAAGUGGGACCCCCGGAGCUUCACCUCGGUGGAGGACGAUUGUGUGCCCGGCUUUCCUUGUGUCCCCCUCAUCCGGCUCCCAGAGAACCUGGACACCAGGAAGCCCAGCCCCGUGGAGUGCCCUGGAGUCCAGGCUGGCCCAGGCGGGGUCCUGUAGCCCCAGCAGCCCAGCCCUGCUGAGUGGGGCCUGGGAGGCUGCACUCAGUGCCCUUCCUCUCUGGCUCCUGUCCCCACCUGGCAGCUCCACUGGCUAACAGCCUGUCCCCAGGCCAGGAGCUGGAGCCUGCCUGCCUGGCAGAGAGGGCCCUGCAGCAAGCAGCCCCAGGGUCGUGCACGGGGGGGGGGGGGGGGGGGGGAUGGGCAGAGCCUGGAAAAUAAAGUCCCAACUGUGGUUUCAUUUUCGACAGUCGCCCUCCUGCCUGGGGCGCAGUGGGAGGUGUGUGGCUCUCUAGUCUGCUCAGAUGGAAAGCACAGGAUUGAGACAGCCGACUCCCAAGGUUCU